UCCGUGUUAACCACGGCAGUCUCUCUAGAGUGCCCAACUGAAUGCUGGCAACUAAAGACAAGGGUUGCGCUCGUUGCGGGACUUAACCCAACAUGUCACCACACGAGCUGACGACAGCCAUGCAGCACCUGUCUCUCGGUCGUAUUGCUACGAAAACCGUAUUUCUACGGCUGUCCAAGGAUGUCAAAUCCAGGUAAGGUUCUUCGCGUUGCUUCGAAUUAAACCACAUGAUCCACCGCUUGUGCGGGCCCCCGUCAAUUCCUUUGAGUUUUAGUCUUGCGACCGUACUUCCCAGGCGGGGUACUUAUUGCGUUAGCUCCGGCUCUGCGGGGGUCAAGACCCACAAAACCUAGUACCCAUCGUUUACAGCGUGGACUAC
Molecule: unclassified non-coding RNA, 379 nt
Filed under: uncultured Oligoflexales bacterium
Lineage: Bacteria; Pseudomonadati; Bdellovibrionota; Oligoflexia; Oligoflexales
Description: contains 16S-23S intergenic spacer region
Source: RNAcentral